CUAACACAUGCANGUCGAGCGGUAGCACAGAGAGCUUGCUCUCGGGUGACGAGCGGCGGACGGGUGAGUAAUGUCUGGGAAACUGCCUGAUGGAGGGGGAUAACUACUGGAAACGGUAGCUAAUACCGCAUAACGUCGCAAGACCAAAGUGGGGGACCUUCGGGCCUCAUGCCAUCAGAUGUGCCCAGAUGGGAUUAGCUAGUAGGUGGGGUAACGGCUCACCUAGGCGACGAUCCCUAGCUGGUCUGAGAGGAUGACCAGCCACACUGGAACUGAGACACGGUCCAGACUCCUACGGGAGGCAGCAGUGGGGAAUAUUGCACAAUGGGCGCAAGCCUGAUGCAGCCAUGCCGCGUGUGUGAAGAAGGCCUUCGGGUUGUAAAGCACUUUCAGCGGGGAGGAAGGCGAUAAGGUUAAUAACCUUGUCGAUUGACGUUACCCGCAGAAGAAGCACCGGCUAACUCCGUGCCCAGCAGCCGCGGUAAUACGGAGGGGUGCAAGCGUUAAUCGGAAUUACUGGGCGUAAAGCGCACGCAGGCGGUCUGUCAAGUCGGAUGUGAAAUCCCCGGGCUCAACCUGGGAACUGCAUUCGAAACUGGCAGGCUAGAGUCUUGUAGAGGGGGGUAGAAUUCCAGGUGUAGCGGUGAAAUGCGUAGAGAUCUGGAGGAAUACCGGUGGCGAAGGCGGCCCCCUGGACAAAGACUGACGCUCAGGUGCGAAAGCGUGGGGAGCAAACAGGAUUAGAUACCCUGGUAGUCCACGCCGUAAACGAUGUCGAUUUGGAGGUUGUGCCCUUGAGGCGUGGCUUCCGGAGCUAACGCGUUAAAUCGACCGCCUGGGGAGUACGGCCGCAAGGUUAAAACUCAAAUGAAUUGACGGGGGCCCGCACAAGCGGUGGAGCAUGUGGUUUAAUUCGAUGCAACGCGAAGAACCUUACCUGGUCUUGACAUCCACAGAACUUUUCCAGAGAUGGAUUGGUGCCUUCGGGAACUGUGAGACAGGUGCUGCAUGGCUGUCGUCAGCUCGUGUUGUGAAAUGUUGGGUUAAGUCCCGCAACGAGCGCAACCCUUAUCCUUUGUUGCCAGCGGUCCGGCCGGGAACUCAAAGGAGACUGCCAGUGAUAAACUGGAGGAAGGUGGGGAUGACGUCAAGUCAUCAUGGCCCUUACGACCAGGGCUACACACGUGCUACAAUGGCAUAUACAAAGAGAAGCGACCUCGCGAGAGCAAGCGGACCUCAUAAAGUAUGUCGUAGUCCGGAUUGGAGUCUGCAACUCGACUCCAUGAAGUCGGAAUCGCUAGUAAUCGUAGAUCAGAAUGCUACGGUGAAUACGUUCCCGGGCCUUGUACACACCGCCCGUCACACCAUGGGAGUGGGUUGCAAAAGAAGUAGGUAGCUUAACCUUCGGGAGGGCGCUUACCACUU
This 1425-nucleotide ribosomal RNA is filed under the name bacterium AD6(2012). RNAcentral describes it as "bacterial SSU rRNA". It matches the Rfam family "Bacterial small subunit ribosomal RNA". The record is from RNAcentral.